UCGGGAAUUUUGGGCAAUGGGCGAAAGCCUGACCCAGCAACGCCGCGUGAGGGAUGAAGUAUUUCGGUAUGUAAACCUCGAAAGAACGGGAAGAAUAAAUGACGGUACCAUUUAUAAGCUCCGGCUAACUACGUGCCAGCAGCCGCGGUAAUACGUAGGGAGCAAGCGUUGUCCGGAUUUACUGGGUGUAAAGGGCGCGCAGGCGGGAUAAAAAGUCAGUGGUGAAAUCCUACAGCUUAACUGUAGAACUGCCUUUGAUACUUUUAUUCUUGAGUUCGGGAGAGAGAGACGGAAUUCCAGGUGUAGUGGUGAAAUACGUAGAUAUCUGGAAGAACACCAGUUGCGAAGGCGGUCUCUUGGUCCGACACUGACGCUGAGGCGCGAAAGCGUGGGGAGCAAACA
RNAcentral lists this ribosomal RNA (402 nucleotides) under uncultured bacterium. RNAcentral describes it as "bacterial SSU rRNA". It matches the Rfam family "Bacterial small subunit ribosomal RNA", at positions 355 to 774 of the family's 1533-position model. The record is from RNAcentral.